UGAGGCAGAAGAAUUGCUUGAACCCAGGAAGUGGAGGUUGCAGUGAGCCGAUAUCGAGCCACUGCACUCCAGCCUGGGCAACAGAGCGAGACUCCGUCU
This 99-nucleotide microRNA precursor is filed under the name Saimiri boliviensis boliviensis (Bolivian squirrel monkey). RNAcentral describes it as "miRNA (ENSSBOG00000005596.1)". The record is from RNAcentral. Lineage: Eukaryota; Metazoa; Chordata; Mammalia; Primates; Cebidae.